GACGAACGCUGGCGGCGUGCUUAACACAUGCAAGUCGAACGGAAAGGCCCUGCUUUUGUGGGGUGCUCGAGUGGCGAACGGGUGAGUAACACGUGAGUAACCUGCCCUUGACUUUGGGAUAACUUCAGGAAACUGGGGCUAAUACCGGAUAGGAGCUCCUGCUGCAUGGUGGGGGUUGGAAAGUUUCGGCGGUUGGGGAUGGACUCGCGGCUUAUCAGCUUGUUGGUGGGGUAGUGGCUUACCAAGGCUUUGACGGGUAGCCGGCCUGAGAGGGUGACCGGCCACAUUGGGACUGAGAUACGGCCCAGACUACUCCGGGAGGCAGCAGUGCGGAAUAUUGCACUAUGGGCUGAAGCCUGAUGCAGCAACGCCGCGUGCGGGAUGACGGCCUUCGGGUUGUAAUCCGCUUUCGCCUGUGACGAAGCGUGAGUGACGGUAAUGGGUAAAGAAGCACCGGCUAACUACGUG
RNAcentral lists this ribosomal RNA (468 nucleotides) under uncultured bacterium. Its description in RNAcentral is "partial 16S ribosomal RNA". It matches the Rfam family "Bacterial small subunit ribosomal RNA", at positions 28 to 507 of the family's 1533-position model. The record is from RNAcentral.